ACUAAUGAAUAUUUAAUGUCAAAUAAAACUAAUUAAAUUGUUCUCCUACUCUCACAACUAAAUGAACAAGCCUAAGGUGACUCGAAGCGGCUUUAAAUUUCGCGGUGACUACUUCUCCAAGAACCCCCUUGCCGACUAAUCCGCAAUACCUUUUGGUAAUAAUGACCACUGAUUAGGUCGGCCGAACCCUUGUAGGAAGCGCUUUCUACCGGUCGCACCCUGUAUAAUAUAAAUUAAGUGACAGUAGUUCGGAUAGGCUGUAAUUUGGAACUACAGUAGGUAAUUGAGUCGGGAGAAACAACCCCGAUGUUAGAAUAUGGGCAACAAUAAACUAAUCGGGAUAUGCGAUUAUGCCAGCGUUAAGGUGUUUUCGUUCUUUGUGAUUCUCAGAGCGUCUUUGUGCGUCAGCAAUAGCUGGGUUGACGGUACGACGAAUCACCUUUACAUACAAGUAAGUGACAACAACAUUUGUUACACAAAUAGUGGCUCUGACUCCCAAACUUUUAUAUUUUAUAAUACUACCAACUACACAAUUCAUUGGCAGUGGCUCGUACCACCGAAUGACUAUUUCCAACUGCCCGCCUGUAUCUACAAGUAUGCCUCCAACUGGCUAGACGACUUCCCAAUGGACGACACACAUAGGUUACAUGAAGACAUACCAAGUCGUUGAGGGCUUCAAUAACUGGCUACCUAACUUAAGCGUGGACUGCGAAGAUGUUGACGAUGUCUAAGUAACUUCCGAUAUCAGGGACGCUAUAUGCUACGGGUCUCGGACAACGUACCUCUCACUAAAAGCUAUAAACUACUCAUAGAAUGACACAAACGACAUUGGACAACUACAUACCCAGUUCGGCUUUAAAAGUAAGCGGCCUUUAAAUCCCCAAUACUGGGUAAAAUUAAUCAAUGUAUGCCUAACUGGCUCAAUAUCAC
This is a long non-coding RNA of Photinus pyralis (common eastern firefly), 930 nucleotides long. RefSeq lists it as uncharacterized. NCBI's taxonomy places the organism in Eukaryota, Metazoa, Arthropoda, Insecta, Coleoptera, Lampyridae. The record is from RefSeq and is a predicted model, not a curated record. The transcript is spliced from 2 exons.